GGGAAACCCUGACGAUGCGAAGCCGCGUGGAGGAUGAAGGCCUUAGGGUUGUAAACUCCUGUCAAGAGGGAAUAAGCAAGUGAAGGUACCUCUAGAGGAAGGGGCGGCUAAUUCCGUGCCAGCAGCCGCGGUAACACGGAAGCCCCGAGCGUUGUUCGGAUUCAUUGGGCGUAAAGGGUGCGUAGGCGGCGCGGAAAGUCCGGCGUGAAAGGCAGAGGCUCAACCUCUGGACUGCGUUGGAUACUUCCGUGCUUGAGGACUGGAGGGGAGACUGGAAUUCACGGUGUAGCAGUGAAAUGCGUAGAUAUCGUGAGGAAGACCGGUGGCGAAGGCGAGUCUCUGGACAGAUCCUGACGCUGAGGCACGAAGGCUGGGGGAGCGAACAGGAUUAGAUACCCUGGUAGUCCCAGCAGUAAACGAUGUGAGCUUGAUGUGGGGGGAUUCGACCCCUUCCGUGUCGAAGCUAACGCGAUAAGCUCACCGCCUGAGGAGUACGGCCGCAAGGCUAAAACUCAAAGAAAAUGACGGGGACCCGCACAAGCGGUGGAGUAUGUGCUUAAUUCGAUGCAACGCGAAGAACCUUACCUGGCCUUGACAUGCAUUGUGUCGUCGGUGAAAGCCGGCUAGUCCUGGAAACAGGACGCUUUGCACAGGUGCUGCAUGGCUGUCGUCAGCUCGUGUCGUGAGAUGUUGGGUUAAGUCCCGCAACGAGCGCAACCCUUGUGGUCAGUUACUAACCGGCUUAGCCGGAGGACUCUGGCCAGACUGCCCUGUCAAACGGGGAGGAAGGUGGGGACGACGUCAAGUCAGUAUGGCCCUUAUGGCCAGGGCUGCACACGUACUACAAUGCCCGGUACAAUGUGAACCGAAACCGCGAGGUGGAGGAAAUCGCUCUUGAAAACCGGGCCCAGUUCGGAUUGGAGUCUGCAACUCGACUCCAUGAAGUCGGAAUCGCUAG
Molecule: ribosomal RNA, 958 nt
Filed under: uncultured Verrucomicrobiota bacterium
Lineage: Bacteria; Pseudomonadati; Verrucomicrobiota
Description: bacterial SSU rRNA
Rfam family: Bacterial small subunit ribosomal RNA
Source: RNAcentral